GGCGCAGCAGGCGCGAAAACUUUACAAUGCGAGAAAUCGUGAUAAGGGAACCCCGAGUGCCCGUAAAUUCGGGCUGUCCGCCAGUGUAAAUAACUGGUGAAGAAAGGGCCGGGCAAGACCGGUGCCAGCCGCCGCGGUAAUACCGGCGGCUCGAGUGGUGGCCACUAUUACUGGGCUUAAAGCGUCCGUAGCUGGAUUGUUAAGUCUCUUGGGAAAUCCACCGGCUCAACCGAUGGGCGUUCAGGAGAAACUGGCAAUCUAGGGACCGGGAGAGGUGAGAGGUACUCCAGGGGUAGGAGUGAAAUCCUGUAAUCCUUGGGGGACCACCUGUGGCGAAGGCGUCUCACUAGAACGGCUCCGACAGUGAGGGACGAAAGCUGGGGGAGCAAACCGGAUUAGAUACCCGGGUAGUCCCAGCUGUAAACGAUGCGCGUUAGGUGUAUCGGUGACCACGAGUCAUCGAGGUGCCGAAGGGAAACCGUGAAACGUGCC
RNAcentral lists this ribosomal RNA (492 nucleotides) under uncultured archaeon. Its description in RNAcentral is "bacterial SSU rRNA". It matches the Rfam family "Archaeal small subunit ribosomal RNA", at positions 329 to 825 of the family's 1478-position model. The record is from RNAcentral.